CCCCGCACGGCCCGCAUAUGUUUGAUUCAGGCAGGUGUAAGCACAUAUCUAUAUCUCCAGCGCUAUUCUGAAGUGUAACACACUGCCUCAGUGCGACCAAGCGUUAACACAGCCCCCCUCACAUCUCUGCGAAGCACUCAGUCCUGUGUGUGUGUGUGUGUGUAUGAACUGUGUGCCGAAGCGCUGAGUAAUCCUCUCCUCUGCUCGGCUGAUAUCCAACCAUCCCACACGAGCAAGGACGCUGGCUGAACAGGAAAACACCUGUUCGUAUUACUGCUGGACACUCUAACUGGACAAAAACACCUGGAUUAAUACUUACGUGUUUGUGCAGCAUUAACGUUUACCUGUGUGUUCUGACCAGAAAAUGGGUCUCGGUGAAGGUCAAGGUGAAGGUCAUGGCGACGGUCAAGGACGCGGUGGAGCCGGAAUAAUCUGGGCAAUACUCUGGUUCCUCGUGCUCAUCUUCCUAGGAUGGCCAAUCGGCUUCUUCAUCGCCUGGCUCUACGUUCUGCUUCUGCCCUUCGGCGCCUGCAUCAGCCCCAUCAAGGACGUCUGCGACACCAUCCUGCGUCUUGUACAACUCCCGUUCACGUGCGCUGAGAACAUGGUGAACAUGAAGCCCAUGUGCUCAUAAAUCAACAUCAUCAACAUCAUGAACACCAUCAACAUCAAGUCUUCCAGAUAAACAUGAACCCAUAUAUUUAAAUCUCUCAACAACUUAUGUGUUUUCCCGGGAAAAGGCUUCCAAAGAAGAUGCUCAUGGAUGGCCUUGUUUAAUCUUGUCUGAACUCGAAAGUGACCAGCAAAACAUUAACAUAUUGGCCUUGUAUUAUGUAUUUGUGGUUGUAAGCACAUGAAACUGAUUUUUAUUCGUGUGAGGUUAAAAGUUCUUUGAGAAUCAAAUAUCAGUGUUACUCCUGAUCAAGUGAUGUUCACUCUAGGAUGUCCCAUUGGUAGCGUCACGUGGUUAAAAGUCCAAGGUACUGAAGGCUAUAUGAUAAGCACCGUAUCGUAUUGAAGUGGGGUCAGAUAGAUCGUUUUCACCCAUAUUUUCAAAUUCUUUGCUGCAUGUCAUUCGAGUUGGAAGACAAUGUGGAGUGGGGUGUGUGUGUGUGUCGGGGGGAUGCCUCGUACCUCGAAAUGCCUUAUAUCCCUCGCCAUGAACGGUUUCUUUCGGAAAAAACAUUUUGCUCACGAAGACAUGUCCAUACAGAACCUUCUUUAUCCAAAUAUGUCCCCAUCAAAUCGAAUCACCUCCAGAUGUAAACUGUCGGGCAAAAGAAAGUAUACCUUUAGGAACUGUAUCUGACCCAACAAAUACAAACGUUCUUAGGCUCAAAACAGUUGCCGAUACACUGCAAGAUUAAGGCCCUAAAACACAUCUAUGAUCUCAAACCCAUCACCAUCAAAUAAUUGUUUGUUGUUUUCGUUUUUAGCCACUAUAAAACAUGGGUGUAGACUCUCUUUGCCCGGCUGUUGUGAACAUGGCUUCUGGUGAUCACCGCUUACGAUCCGUUUGUCUGUACCUAUAAUUUCCAAAAGGAUAUACCGAGAAACGGCUGUAGGAUUCAUCAGACAUG
This 1580-nucleotide long non-coding RNA is filed under the name Haliotis rufescens (red abalone). RNAcentral describes it as "uncharacterized LOC124143339". Lineage: Eukaryota; Metazoa; Mollusca; Gastropoda; Lepetellida; Haliotidae. The record is from RNAcentral.